This 431-nucleotide long non-coding RNA is filed under the name Monodelphis domestica (gray short-tailed opossum). Its description in RNAcentral is "lncRNA (ENSMODG00000041380.1)". The record is from RNAcentral. Lineage: Eukaryota; Metazoa; Chordata; Mammalia; Didelphimorphia; Didelphidae.
AGGACCUUGUUUUAUGAUGAGGUUCUUCCUUCUGUCAAUCUGACAGAAGUUCUCUCAGAAGUAGCUGGAACUGCCUGGGACAUGCUGAUCACCCCAUUUGAUUUCAUUGCCAUCGCUAUUACUGCUCAGGCCAAAUGCUGUAGAGGUCGUAUGCUCACAGUGUCCUCGGCCCCCAUGGACUCCUGGAAUCCUCCCAAGUCUUUGAGAGGAGACAGAACAACUUUGAGAGGAUCAAUCGAAUGGGCAAAGCUUAUAAUUGGACAAGACCCUGCCUCUCCCCAACUCCCUUGCAGAUCAAAGAAAUUCAUUUAGAACACGCUGAGAAGGUCCUCAUUUCUCUUCACCAGCACAAGUUUCUUAUGGACUACCCAUAAACGCAGAAGAUGAACUGUGACAGCUUCCCCACAAAAUAAACUGCUUUAAAAUGCUCA